GCACAGUGCAACGCCAAGGAACACCUCCUGAAACAUCUCCGCUGAGAAUCAAGACUAUUAUAUAUAAUACAUUUCAGUGACUACUGUACAUAUAGUUUCUGGCUCUUAGAGAAACAUAAUGGAUUCAUUAUGGAAAACAAAGACUUUCAAUAUUUUCCAGUCAUCAUUCCUCAACCUCGUUCAUCGGAUGGCUCCUCAUAUACUGUUGAAAACAGCAUUGUAAGAAGAGGGCUCUGCCUGUGGCUUCCACAGAAGUCAGGCCGGGACAUGCCUUUCAUAAAAUCAUUAACAUCAUGAAAUGUUGUCUACACUUUUAUAAGGGUCUCAUAUAAGCCUUAAACUCUGGCAGCAUGGAGGAUGACCUUGUACAUCUGAUCCUCCUGCCUCCACUUCCUGAAUGCUGGGACAGCAGGCAUGGACCGUUUAUGCGGUGUUGGAGACUCAACCCAGGGCCUGGUGCAUACAGACAAGUGCUCAUCGCCUGAGGGAAUGACCUGAAAGGAUUUAGAGUGUGCGCUGCUCUCCCAGAGGACCUGAGUUCCCAGUAUCUAUAACUUCAGCUCAAGGGGAUCUGAUGUCUCUGGCCUCUGCGCACAUGGAAGCCAGAGGUCGUAUUGUAUCUUCCUUUGCAUCCUGUUUUUGAAAAAGAGCAGUAAACCUGCAGCUUAUCCAUUUGAAGAGGCUGAAGUUGGUUAGUAAACACGAAGGACCUUCCUGUCUCCACUUCCCUGACUGGAUUACAAGAGUGUGUCAUAGCACUCAGAGUUUUAUGAUGCAGGGGAUCCAAACCUAGGUUUCAUGCCUGUGCAGCAAGCACUUUACUAACUUCCCAGUCCUCUUGUGAACAUGUGACAGUAUUUCAAGCA
Long non-coding RNA from Grammomys surdaster, 866 nucleotides. RefSeq lists it as uncharacterized. The record is from RefSeq and is a predicted model, not a curated record. NCBI's taxonomy places the organism in Eukaryota, Metazoa, Chordata, Mammalia, Rodentia, Muridae. The transcript has 5 exons.